GACGAACGCUGGCGGCGUGCUUAACACAUGCAAGUCGAACGGAAAGGCCCUGCUUUUGUGGGGUGCUCGAGUGGCGAACGGGUGAGUAACACGUGAGUAACCUGCCCUUGACUUUGGGAUAACUUCAGGAAACUGGGGCUAAUACCGGAUAGGAGCUCCUGCUGCAUGGUGGGGGUUGGAAAGUUUCGGCGGUUGGGGAUGGACUCGCGGCUUAUCAGCUUGUUGGUGGGGUAGUGGCUUACCAAGGCUUUGACGGGUAGCCGGCCUGAGAGGGUGACCGGCCACAUUGGGACUGAGAUACGGCCCAGACUCCUACGCGAGGCAGCAGUGGGGAAUAUUGCACAAUGGGCGGAAGCCUGAUGCAGCAACGCCGCGUGCGGGAUGACGGCCUUCGGGUUGUAACCCGCUUUCGCCUGUGACGAAGCGUGAGUGACGGUAAUGGGGAAAGAAGCACCGGCUAACUACGU
Molecule: ribosomal RNA, 467 nt
Filed under: uncultured bacterium
Lineage: Bacteria
Description: partial 16S ribosomal RNA
Rfam family: Bacterial small subunit ribosomal RNA
Source: RNAcentral